Molecule: long non-coding RNA, 206 nt
Filed under: Setaria viridis
Lineage: Eukaryota; Viridiplantae; Streptophyta; Magnoliopsida; Poales; Poaceae
Description: long non-coding RNA (SVIR_LNC010462)
Source: RNAcentral
UUUUAUUGGCGAGGACUCUAUGUAACAAAAAUUAGAGUUCAUGUAUCUUAAUAUUAUCUUUAGUUUAGAUAUUUAUUGUUAGACAAGUUUUUUUACGGCUCAAUCAGGAGUCAUUAGCCCAGAGUAUAAAUAUGUUCCCUUUGGCCAUUGUAAAAACAAUCAUCAAUCAAUCAAAAUACAACCUUUUGGCGCCAUGCUGCCAAAAC